CCGAUAAUAGUCUAUAUUUAGUAUUUUACCUAAUGUGAGGAAGUCAUUGGAAAUACCAACUCCGAAAUCAAUAAGUCAUUGAAGUGUACACAAUACUAAAUAAUAUAGACAUAUUAGAUAAGAACAUGCUAUUCACGUUGGCACAAACAAACACCAGAGGACAUUAAAAAAAACAAUAUGAAAAACAGAGCAGAACAACAGUCACACAGGAAAUUUUAAGUCAACGAGUGGUGGAUUUGUGGAAUUUACUUCCCAGUUCAGAAGUAGAAGCCCCCACUCUAAAUGUUUUUAAAAAUCGUCUAAAUAGACACUGGCACAAAGUACCUUUUAAGUUGUAUCCAAGUUUUUAUGAUGCGCAACCGGAUAACAAUGAGUUAUUCCUACAAGAUGUGUCAGAAUUAGCUGAUAUCAGCUAACCAGUGGCUUCGAAGAAGAGGUAUCAGGUAUCAGCAUGGAUGACCACAACAGAGCCAGGAGACAGAUCAAAUUGAAAGCAACAUUAAAAGAAGUCCAUCUCGGAGGCAUUAAUCCAACAUCAAGUUUUGAGGAGAUGAAGCAGGAGGUCCAGUCCUGGUUUCCUCUCCUAAGUGAUCAGGAAGUUAAUUUGGAUUUGGUCUACAAGGAUGAGGAUGGAGAUGAUAUUACCAUAGAAACAGAAGAAGAAUGGAAGGUUUUCUGUGGAAAUUCUACAGGGAAUUUGCUCAAACUGAGCAUACGAGCCAAACCUGUCAUUAGACGCAAGCCAUCAUUCAGUGAAUCCACAAAGAGUGGUUGCAGUACAGUGUCGAUACUAAGAAAUAUUAACAGUGUUGAUAACAGUCAGACAAGCAGGACUGAAACUAGGAACCGUAACUCUAGCACCUUAGAAGUCGAAACCGCCGCACCAAGCGUCUAGUAGCUUUGUCACCCAGGCAAGUGACGACGAUAUUUCCCAGCGAAACAGAAACCAGACAGAUUUCUCUCCUCCAGCGACGAGUCCCACACUAGAUGAAGGACCGCUGAACUUUUCAUUCUCUAAGGCACAAAUCCACUCAAGUGACGAAGAGGAUGAUGUUUUUUGGCCCCCUUCAUCAGGAGACACUUUGGACAAAGUCAAGAUCACAAGACCCCCCAAUAUAGAAACUGUGGACAGCAGGGCUCGGAAUAUGACUCAUUUUUAUCCGAGUGACAAGAAAGGCAGAGUACUUAUCUUUAACCAAAAGAAGUUCACGUCAGAACCAGACAUCCUGGGAGACUUUCGAUACUACCUGUCUGUGUUUGUUAUUUCGCGCCCUGAAAUACGAUGUUAAAUCAUACACAGAUCAAUCUGUUCAGCAAAUACGAGAAAAGUUGGAUAAAGAAAAAGAACUUUUGGCCAAAACAGAGUACGGUUGUUACAUAGUUAUCAUUCUGACCCACUAUGACCCAAAAACAAAGACCCUGUCUGGGAGUAGAGGUGACACAAUUUCACUGGAUGAAAUAACAGAUCGUCUUAAGGAAGAGGAGACACUGAAGGGGGUCCCCAAGCUCGUGUUUCUCGAUGGUGCGAGACAUGAUUUCCCCGGAAGUCUGCUGAAAUUUGGUGGUGCUCAAUCGAGAAUGACAUUAAAGAUGCCUGUUGCUACCGGAGCAGACUUACCUUGGAGUGGCCAAGGAGUGGACAGUACCGACUCAUGUCCGUCAAACAAGAUGGACGACUUUUAUAUAUACAUUGCAGGAACAUUGGGUGAAGGAAAUCCAAUUUACAAGGGAUCACUGAUGAUACAGGCCUUGGUGAAAGUUUUCUGUGCCAACUUAUACAAAGACAGUCUCUGUGAAAUGAUGAUGAAGGUUGAACAGCUGUUGGGAGAGGCUCGAACGAGAA
Pecten maximus is the source of this 1843-nucleotide long non-coding RNA. RefSeq lists it as uncharacterized. Lineage: Eukaryota; Metazoa; Mollusca; Bivalvia; Pectinida; Pectinidae. The record is from RefSeq and is a predicted model, not a curated record. The transcript has 10 exons.